GUGGUUGUGACGGAAUUGGCAUACGUACUGGUUUAAGACGCCAGGUUUUAGGGGUUCAAGUCCCCUCUUCCACACCA
RNAcentral lists this transfer RNA (77 nucleotides) under compost metagenome. RNAcentral's name for it is "tRNA-Leu". It matches the Rfam family "tRNA". From Rfam's summary of the family: Transfer RNA (tRNA) molecules are approximately 80 nucleotides in length. The record is from RNAcentral.